Non-coding RNA from Manis javanica (Malayan pangolin), 1029 nucleotides. NCBI's taxonomy places the organism in Eukaryota, Metazoa, Chordata, Mammalia, Pholidota, Manidae. The record is from RefSeq and is a predicted model, not a curated record.
CCUGGCCUAUCUCUCCCAAGUUUUUCUCAAACUGCCAAUACAGUUGAUUUCCAGGAACACAGGGAUAAAAUAGACACAGAUAACCCCCCAAGAAGGCAGCGAGGGGUCAUCCUCAGGCAGGAAACCGCAUCCCAGUCCUGUAGGAUGAAAAGCAGGCGGCAGACCGUGGAACUAAAGAGGGGGAAGUGAUCGCAGGAGACAGCCGGGCAGCGCAGACCCCGGACGUGCUCCAAACCUGGGUGAGGUGAGGAGUGAAGCCAGAGCAGGGGUGUCCUUUCUGAGAACUCCAUGCGCCCCUGAAAGGUGCCCAGUGCUCAGAAAACUGGCAGUUCUGUUAGAGCGGUUUCCUCAGUACAGAAAUGGAAGGAAAUGGGAGGCAGACGCCCCACAGCAGAGCUCUCCCCAUUCUCCUGCUUCCAGGGACCCCCGUCCUCACCCGCACACGGACUCUUUCCAAGUCGCCCCCUCCCCUGUCUCCUUACAGAGGAAAAGACCGCAAACCUGGGGUGGAUCGGCUCGCCGUCGUGUGCGAGGCAUCAACGUAAUGAAACACGUGUGCUUCUAGAAAAAAGCAGAUCGUUCAGGGAAGCUUAGAGAUUGAACCUUAAAAGAGAAAGGGGAACAUCACUGAAAUGAGAAGAAGAAGCGUCACGUUGAGUCCUGUUUUCAGAGAACUUUGAGCAGAUUCUGUCUCCAUCCACAAAAAGAGAUAGGAUGUUGCAGUGGAGGGUAUGUGACUUGACUCAGGAAAAUUUGGAGGCGUUCCAUGUUUUAAGAAAAACAAAAGCUGUCUAGACGACUGAGCUGGCCCAGCAAAGCCCCCCUGCCCUGCGCUGAGCCGAAUUGGAGCCAGUUUAUCAGCUCCACGUUGAAGUAAACAGUCCAAGUCUUAAACCAAAGCAAAACUUGAUAUUUGCAGACAAUGUCACCAGUGCAAAUGGUGUAGGAGGUGAAUCGAUUGCCUUCAUUGCAUGGAAGAGAGAAGUGAUUGCCAGGGGCUGGUAGCCAGGGGUUCCAGGUAAAGGGGAG